This is a non-coding RNA of Potamilus streckersoni, 73 nucleotides long. NCBI's taxonomy places the organism in Eukaryota, Metazoa, Mollusca, Bivalvia, Unionida, Unionidae. The record is from the annotation of a GenBank genome assembly.
GCUCUGAUGGCCUAGUGGUUAGAGUAUCCAUCUCGGAUGUGGGAGGUCGUGGGUUCAAUCCCUGGUCAAGUCA